GCCCGGGUGGCGGAAUUGGUAGACGCACUACCUUGAGGUGGUAGCGACGUAAGUCGUGGGGGUUCGAGUCCCCCCUCGGGCACCA
This 85-nucleotide transfer RNA is filed under the name Arenimonas sp. RNAcentral's name for it is "tRNA-Leu". It matches the Rfam family "tRNA". From Rfam's summary of the family: Transfer RNA (tRNA) molecules are approximately 80 nucleotides in length. Their secondary structure includes four short double-helical elements and three loops (D, anti-codon, and T loops). Further hydrogen bonds mediate the characteristic L-shaped molecular structure. tRNAs have two regions of fundamental functional importance: the anti-codon, which is responsible for specific mRNA codon recognition, and the 3' end, to which the tRNAs corresponding amino acid is attached (by aminoacyl-tRNA synthetases). tRNAs cope with the degeneracy of the genetic code in two manners: having more than one tRNA (with a specific anti-codon) for a particular amino acid; and 'wobble' base-pairing, i.e. permitting non-standard base-pairing at the 3rd anti-codon position. The record is from RNAcentral. RNAcentral also lists the same sequence under 1 other name. Lineage: Bacteria; Pseudomonadati; Pseudomonadota; Gammaproteobacteria; Lysobacterales; Lysobacteraceae.